UCCAACUCCAAAGUCAAAGAACCCCAAAUAGUGAAAACCCUUCCAUCCACUUCAUGACGAGCUUCCUUCUUUGCAAUUUCGAGCCACUGUUCAAGUUUGUAAUUACAUAUUAGUCUUACCGCUCCAAUACAAUUUGGUAAGCUAAAGUAUUUGAUUAAAUCAGUUAUGUUAUUUUGUCCUUUUAAAUUUAGGUAUAAUUGUUAUCUUAGAUUGUUGGUCCUGAAAUUUGAUGUUACGAGUUGUGUUCUUUCACUCCAAUAUUGCACUUAUAUUUGUGAUGAAAUCACUGCUUAAUGUUAAAGGUUCUCUAAGAAGUAACCUGGAUUUGAGAAGCUUCCGAACUUCUCUUUUUUCUCAUUUAUUUUUCUUUAAAUUUCAGUAAGUAAUUCGAAUGUUUUAUUAUGUGUAGAGACUCUCUUUCUAGAUGGAAACUACCAAUGAAAUAGAUGUGGAGAUGAUUGUCAAUGAUCCUCUGAUUGUGUCAGUGGCACCUCAAAAGAAAGGUAAAAACACUCCUCAUACACGCACUCCUCCUAAAAAGCAAAAAAGAACAAAUCCUUCAGAUCCCGAUUCUAAGCCUAAUAAUACUAGAAGAGAAACAUCUGAUAAUUGGAAUCACUUUAAAAAAUUUAUUGAUAAAGGAGGCAAACGUAGAGCAAAAUGCAAUUAUUAUGUAAAACACUUUACUUCCGAGACCAAGACUAAUGGAACUUCUACUUUAUGGAAUCAUUUAAAUUUGAUGUGUCUUAAAUCUCCCUUUAGAUUUGUUGAUAGGAAGCAAUCUACAUUGAAACUUACACCUAUCCAAGAAGGGGGACAAGAAAUUGGUAAAAGUUCUAUUGGAAGGGUGGUGUAUAAUAUGGAGGAUAUUAGGAGGGCAACUGCCUAAUUUGUUAUUAUUGACGAGCAUCCAUUUAAGUUGUUGAGGGAGAAGGAUUUAAAAAGUUAAUGGCUAAGGCUUUGCCUAAUUUUGAAUUACCUUCUCGUGUAACUGUGGCUAGAGAUUGUUUGAAGAUUUAUCAAGAGGAGAAAGAAAAACUGAAAAAAACUUAUCAAGAACCUACAUGUAUGUCUUACUAGUGAUAUAUGGUCUUCACUCCAAACUUUUACUUAUAUGGUUGUCACCUUCCAUUGGAUUGAUGAUAAAUGGAAUAUACAAAAGAAGAUACUUAACUUUUUCCAAACACCAGAUCACAAGGGAGAGACUAUUGCUAAGGGUAUUGAAGCUUGUAUGUUAGAGUGGGGUAUUGAGAACUUGUUUACGGUGAUGCUAGAUAAUGCAAGUGCGAAUAAUUCUUCUAUUAAGCAUUUGAAGGCACAUAUUGAUGACUGGAAAGGAGUAAUAUUGGAAAAGGAGUUUUUACAUGUUAGAUGUAAUGCACAUAUUUUGAACUUGAUUGUAAAAGAUGGGUUAGAUGAACAAAUUGAGCCCAUUUCUCGUAUUAGAAAUGCGGUAAAAUAUGUCAAGUCUUCCUCUUCAAGGUUUGAUUCUUUCAAGUCACAUGUUGAGAAAGUUAAGAUAGACAAUCAUGGUCUUUUGAGUCUUGAUGUUGAGACUAGGUGGAACUCUACAUAUAUAAUGUUAGAUACAACUGUGAAAUUUGAAAAGGCCUUUACAAGAAUGUACGUUGAUGACCAUAAGUAUCAAAAGUAUUGUCGAGAGGUAACAAAAGGACAUACAUCUGCUGAUGAUUGGAAGAUUGUGAAAGCUUUUAUCAUGUUCCUUAAUAUUUUUUACCAGACCACUUUAAAAUUUUCAGGAAGCUUAUAUGUUAUUUCGAAUGCAUUCUUCCAUGAAUUUUUUAAUGUUCGAAAUGCUAUUAUAAAGUAUUCUUAUAGUGAAGAUCUUAUUUUGAUUGAUAUGGCUAACAAGAUGAAAGGAAAGUUUGAUAAAUACUGGGGUAUGUUUGAGAAUUUGAACAUGUUAUUGUUCAUUGUUGUUGUGCUGGAUCCCAGAUAUAAGAUGAAGUAUGUGAACUUCAUUCUUAGUAUAUCAUAUAAUCCUUUGGUGAGAAAAUUGAAAUCAGAUCAGGUGACAGGUGCUUUGACUCAUUUGUAUGAUCAUUACAAUAAUUCUUUCUCUGAAUCUUCUAAUGACAAUUCUGGAGGUGAAACUAGUAUGGUGACUGAAGUUGGUGAUAUUUUGCUAUUUCGCUGGGAGAAAUAUUUGGAAGAUGAGGGAGAUGUUGAAAAAAAAAUCUGAGCUUGAAAAAUACUUGACGGAUAAUGUGGAGAAGACCAAGGAUUUAAAUAUCUUGGUUUGGUGGAAAGCUUCAUCUAGUAAAUAUCCAAUUCUUUCAAAAAUGGCAAGGGAUGUUCUUUCAAUUUCUAUUUCUACUAUUGCAUCUGAGUCAGCUUUCAGUACAUGUGGUCGAAUUCUCGAUUCUUACCGAAGUUCUUUAUCACCAAAGAUGGUAGAAGCUCUUAUUUGUACUCAACAAUGGAUAAAGUCACCUAAGGAAUGCAAGCUUCAAGAUUAUCUAGAAGAAAUUAAAAAAAUUGAGCAAGUUGAAGAAGGUAAUUUUAUAUAUUUAAUUCAUAAUGAAUUUGAUUCUAUCUUUAUAUUGUUUAACAUGUAACUGUUUUUUUUCCCAGAAUGUCCAGGUGACCCUUUGAGUAUUGAUUAGUUCAGAACUUUAGUUAAACAAAAUAAUGUCAACCUAUUCAUGGUGCUUGGUUGCUUG
This 2684-nucleotide long non-coding RNA is filed under the name Nicotiana tabacum (common tobacco). RNAcentral's name for it is "long non-coding RNA (NTAB_LNC014376)". The record is from RNAcentral. Lineage: Eukaryota; Viridiplantae; Streptophyta; Magnoliopsida; Solanales; Solanaceae.